RNAcentral lists this ribosomal RNA (1444 nucleotides) under metagenome. RNAcentral describes it as "bacterial LSU rRNA". It matches the Rfam family "Bacterial large subunit ribosomal RNA", at positions 1450 to 2925 of the family's 2925-position model. The record is from RNAcentral.
UUGGGGACAGAACUGUGGGGACGCAGAAGGAGAGCACGAGCCGGAAAUGGAAAAGCCGGUACAAGCGUAUAGCAGUCAUGCAGGCAAAACCGCAUGAAAAAUGUAAAGCGUUAUGUGGAUCGAACAUUAGUAGAGAAGCGUGUGAGCCAGCUGCCAAGAAAAGCCGCUAUGCUUCAUAAGUACCCGUACCGUAAACCGACACAGGUGGAUGAGGAGAGAAUCCUAAGGCCGGCGGGAGAAGUGUUGUUAAGGAACUCGGCAAAAUGACUCCGUAACUUCGGGAGAAGGAGUGCCACAGAGAUGUGGCCGCAGAGAAAUGGCCCAAGCAACUGUUUAGCAAAAACACAGGUCUAUGCAAAACCGAAAGGUGAGGUAUAUGGGCUGACGCCUGCCCGGUGCUGGAAGGUAAGAGGAGAGGUUAGAGCAAUCGAAGCUUUGAAUUUAAGCCCCAGUAAACGGCGGCCGUAACAAUAACGGUCCUAAGGUAGCGAAAUUCCUUGUCGGGUAAGUUCCGACCCGCACGAAAGGCGUAAUGAUUUGGGCACUGUCUCAACAACACACCCGGUGAAAUUGAAAUACCAGUGAAGAUGCUGGUUACCUGCGCCAGGACGGAAAGACCCCAUGGAGCUUUACUCCAGUUUGAUACUGGGAUUCGGUACUGUCUGUACAGGAUAGGUGGGAGGCUAGGAAAUGGUGACGCCAGUUGCCAUGGAGCCAACCUUGGGAUACCACCCUUACAGUACUGGGUUUCUAACCAGCAGCCGUAACCCGGCUGGGGGACAAUGUCUGACGGGGAGUUUGACUGGGGCGGUCGCCUCCGAAAGAGUAUCGGAGGCGCUCAAAGGUUCCCUCAGAACGGUUGGAAACCGUUCGAAGAGUGCAAAGGCAGAAGGGAGCUUGACUGCGACACCGACGGGUGGAGCAGAUACGAAAGUAGGACUUAGUGAUCCGGUGGUAUAAAGUGGGAUUGCCAUCGCUCAACGGAUAAAAGCUACCCUGGGAUAACAGCUUAUCACUCCCAAGAGUUCACAUCGACGGAGUGGUUUGGCACCUCGAUGUCGGCUCAUCGCAUCCUGGAGCUGUAGCAGGUUCCAAGGGUUGGGCUGUUCGCCCAUUAAAGCGGUACGCGAGCUGGGUUCAGAACGUCGUGAGACAGUUCGGUCCCUAUCCGGCGUGGGCGUAGGAUAUUUGAGAGGAGCUGUCCUUAGUACGAGAGGACCGGGAUGGACAAACCUCUGGUGUAUCUGUUGUUUUACCAAAGGCAUGGCAGAGUAGCCAAGUUUGGCAGGGAUAAACGCUGAAGGCAUCUAAGCGUGAAGCCCCCCUCAAGAUAAGAUAUCCCAUCUUCGGAGUAAGACCCCUUGAAGACUACAAGGUUGAUAGGCUUUGUGUGUAAGUGCGGUAACGCACUCAGCUGAGAAGUACUAAUAGGUCGAGGACUUAU